UUUUCUCAGAACUGUAGUAAAUGAAUGGACCUCUGUGAGAUGCCGGCAUGCACUGGGGCUGGGGUUAGGUACAAAGAUGGAUGAAAAUGGUCCUUGGCCUCAGGCUGCACAGAGGAGUAGAAAUACUUCACAUUUAUGGCUUCCAAAUUAAUUUCAUGUACAUCAACACCGACACCAACUUCAAGAGGUUAAAAGUCUUGACAGGCUCGACUGGGUUCUCACAAGGCCAAAUCAAAGUGUCAGCCAGGCGGAAUUAACUGGAGGCCAUGGAGAAACAUCUGUUUCUAAGUUUAUGUGGUUAUUGGAAGAAUUCAAUUCAAUUCAAUUCCUCGCAGCUCCCCGGUCUUUGCAAGGGGUGCCCUCCGUCUUCAAAGCCAGCAACGGCUCAGCAAAUCCUUCUUGCACUUGGAAUCGCUGGCUUUCUCUUCAAUUGCUAACCAGAGAGAACUCUCUUCUUUGAAGGUAAUACAUUCCCAGACUCCUGAGGAAGAAGGAUUCGGAUCUUCUUACACAAAAAACGAAGUCAGUUGGCAUUCACUAUGAAUUCCUUUGAGAUGCAAGUUUGCAUUUAAACA
Manis javanica (Malayan pangolin) is the source of this 575-nucleotide non-coding RNA. The record is from RefSeq and is a predicted model, not a curated record. Lineage: Eukaryota; Metazoa; Chordata; Mammalia; Pholidota; Manidae.